This is a long non-coding RNA of Bufo bufo (common toad), 560 nucleotides long. RefSeq lists it as uncharacterized. The record is from RefSeq and is a predicted model, not a curated record. Lineage: Eukaryota; Metazoa; Chordata; Amphibia; Anura; Bufonidae. The transcript is spliced from 3 exons.
UUCAGCUUCAAUUGAGCAAAUUUGUAGAGCAGCUACCUGGAGCUCUCCAAAUACUUUUUUAGGCACUAUAGACUGCAGCUACCUUCUAAUGAGGGUCUUUCCUUUGGCUGUAAGGUGCUGCAGGCUGUAGUCCCUCCCUAGAUAGAAUUCUUGCCUAUUCUCCUGGGGUGCUGUCAUAGGCGAAAGAGAAAUAUUGGAUUACACUUACCGAUGACAGCAUCCGGUUAAUUUCCCCCUCCCCCCGAAAAAAGGGGGUCGAAGUAUUUACGGGGGAAAUAAAAAAAAAUAUAUAUAUAAAAAAUUGCUCUCCGUUGCCGCAUUUCAGCACUCAGUAUUGUAUUCAGUCUGUGUGUUAUCUCCUAUAGGUUCUGACUCCAGGAGGAGAAGUCCCCCCGAGAGAUGUCCCCGUCCUCUGUAUUCCCAGGACUGUCCAGAGGAGAAGCUCCCAGAGAACCAUCAGGAUGAAAAUCUGAUGGAUAUUAAGGCUGAGGUUAAAGAGGAAGAAGAGGAGACGGAUUUAUGGGGCAAUCAGCAGGAUGGACUCAUAGAAGGAAAUCCCC